GUGGGAAACGAUGUGGGAAGGCCCAGACAGCCAGGAUGUUGGCUUAGAAGCAGCCAUCAUUUAAAGAAAGCGUAAUAGCUCACUGGUCGAGUCGGCCUGCGCGGAAGAUGUAACGGGGCUAAACCAUGCACCGAAGCUGCGGCAGCGACACUGUGUGUUGUUGGGUAGGGGAGCGUUCUGUAAGCCUGUGAAGGUGUACUGUGAGGUAUGCUGGAGGUAUCAGAAGUGCGAAUGCUGACAUAAGUAACGAUAAAGCGGGUGAAAAGCCCGCUCGCCGGAAGACCAAGGGUUCCUGUCCAACGUUAAUCGGGGCAGGGUGAGUCGACCCCUAAGGCGAGGCCGAAAGGCGUAGUCGAUGGGAAACAGGUUAAUAUUCCUGUACUUGGUGUUACUGCGAAGGGGGGACGGAGAAGGCUAUGUUGGCCGGGCGACGGUUGUCCCGGUUUAAGCGUGUAGGCUGGUUUUCCAGGCAAAUCCGGAAAAUCAAGGCUGAGGCGUGAUGACGAGGCACUACGGUGCUGAAGCAACAAAUGCCCUGCUUCCAGGAAAAGCCUCUAAGCAUCAGGUAACAUCAAAUCGUACCCCAAACCGACACAGGUGGUCAGGUAGAGAAUACCAAGGCGCUUGAGAGAACUCGGGUGAAGGAACUAGGCAAAAUGGUGCCGUAACUUCGGGAGAAGGCACGCUGAUAUGUAGGUGAAGUCCCUCGCGGAUGGAGCUGAAAUCAGUCGAAGAUACCAGCUGGCUGCAACUGUUUAUUAAAAACACAGCACUGUGCAAACACGAAAGUGGACGUAUACGGUGUGACGCCUGCCCGGUGCCGGAAGGUUAAUUGAUGGGGUCAGCGCAAGCGAAGCUCUUGAUCGAAGCCCCGGUAAACGGCGGCCGUAACUAUAACGGUCCUAAGGUAGCGAAAUUCCUUGUCGGGUAAGUUCCGACCUGCACGAAUGGCGUAAUGAUGGCCAGGCUGUCUCCACCCGAGACUCAGUGAAAUUGAACUCGCUGUGAAGAUGCAGUGUACCCGCGGCAAGACGGAAAGACCCCGUGAACCUUUACUAUAGCUUGACACUGAACAUUGAGCCUUGAUGUGUAGGAUAGGUGGGAGGCUUUGAAGUGUGGACGCCAGUCUGCAUGGAGCCGACCUUGAAAUACCACCCUUUAAUGUUUGAUGUUCUAACGUGGACCCGUGAUCCGGGUUGCGGACAGUGUCUGGUGGGUAGUUUGACUGGGGCGGUCUCCUCCUAAAGAGUAACGGAGGAGCACGAAGGUUGGCUAAUCCUGGUCGGACAUCAGGAGGUUAGUGCAAUGGCAUAAGCCAGCUUGACUGCGAGCGUGACGGCGCGAGCAGGUGCGAAAGCAGGUCAUAGUGAUCCGGUGGUUCUGAAUGGAAGGGCCAUCGCUCAACGGAUAAAAGGUACUCCGGGGAUAACAGGCUGAUACCGCCCAAGAGUUCAUAUCGACGGCGGUGUUUGGCACCUCGAUGUCGGCUCAUCACAUCCUGGGGCUGAAGUAGGUCCCAAGGGUAUGGCUGUUCGCCAUUUAAAGUGGUACGCGAGCUGGGUUUAGAACGUCGUGAGACAGUUCGGUCCCUAUCUGCCGUGGGCGCUGGAGAACUGAGGGGGGCUGCUCCUAGUACGAGAGGACCGGAGUGGACGCAUCACUGGUGUUCGGGUUGUCAUGCCAAUGGCACUGCCCGGUAGCUAAAUGCGGAAGAGAUAAGUGCUGAAAGCAUCUAAGCACGAAACUUGCCCCGAGAUGAGUUCUCCCUGACCCUUUAAGGGUCCUGAAGGAACGUUGAAGACGACGACGUUGAUAGGCCGGGUGUGUAAGCGCAGCGAUGCGUUGAGCUAACCGGUACUAAUGAACCGUGAGGCUUAACCUUACAACGCCGAAGGUGUUU
This 1900-nucleotide ribosomal RNA is filed under the name Escherichia coli. RNAcentral describes it as "partial 23S ribosomal RNA". It matches the Rfam family "Bacterial large subunit ribosomal RNA", at positions 1063 to 2925 of the family's 2925-position model. Lineage: Bacteria; Pseudomonadati; Pseudomonadota; Gammaproteobacteria; Enterobacterales; Enterobacteriaceae. The record is from RNAcentral.